AAGGGGCUGUCCCACUUUUAGGGCCCCUGUCCCAUUUGCCCUCGACUCAUACUCGCAGCAUGGUCGUCACGAGGUCGUAGCUAGGCCGUGAUGCUGGUCGUAGCUGCUCGCGGCAUCAAGUAGGCCGGGACGUAUUUUCUAGCCUGAUG
Molecule: long non-coding RNA, 149 nt
Organism: Amblyraja radiata (thorny skate)
Lineage: Eukaryota; Metazoa; Chordata; Chondrichthyes; Rajiformes; Rajidae
Exons: 3
Source: RefSeq, a predicted model, not a curated record